CCUAUAUUGAAAUAACUGAUGAUCAAAAUCACGUAAAACCUACAUCCUUUAACUUUAUACAAGAAUUUUGAUUGACAUUAAUAUUAUCAGUGAAGAAGAUGAAAGUAGUGACCCUUUUGCAUGUAGUGAUGAUGAAGAUAAAAAUUACGAGCCAAUUAAGGCUCCGCUACCUAUCUUCUAGCCACACAGCUGAGGGGCAGCGGUGAGAGGCGCGGUAGUAAUAAAUGUCUAUUUUAGAACGGUUGAUAAAAUUUUAGGCAUCCUCUUACGCCGAGAUCCGAUGUAAUUUCAGGGUUGGCCUACAUAAAUUUGGUGCAGGUUAUGCAAGUAUAAUUAUAUACCUGCAUUACUACCUAAUAUUGCUAUUAUAUAUGCAUUUUGGUUUUUUUUUUGUUUAGUGCGUGAUAGUUCCGGGAUGUAGCCGUGUGGUUUCGUUGCGAUCAUUUUUUGCAUUUUAUUUUGGUGGUUACAUACUAAAAAACUGAAAAGUGUUCCUGUGUUUUCACUAGUAUUUUUUUUGAAAUACUUGUAAAAUAUGGAUGCUAAAAGAAAAGGAUUUAAAGGCCGACUUAGGUUAAAUGCCGUUAGAAAACGUCCAGGUCCGAAAAAAGGACAGAUUGUAAGUAUAUAUGUAAUUACAAUGUUUUUUGUUUUCAUAAUUAUAAUUUUUAAUGUCCGUUAAAUUACCAUUGCUCUUUGGUAAGAUACCAUUGCUCUUUUAUAUCUAUAUUAUUAUAUAUUCUAAUUAUUUUUUAGAAGACUAUAGCAGUUGAUGCUAGUGAAGAAACAAUAACAGCAUUUCUUGGUAAAGAAAAUGAAAGUAUUGUACGAAAUACCCCUAAAACAGUUCAGAAUCAAAAUGAGGAAAAACCUGUUAAAUUAGAGGGAAGAAGAUUAGUGGAUAUUCAAUAUUUCUUGGAUUGUGUGAAAAAUCUAAACAACCACGAGCCAAAGUUUGCAAGGUGCACCUUAAGCAACAUGAAUGUCAUAAAAGAAGUUAGAAAUGGAUAUGUGUCAAUAUUUAAGGUCAAGUGUGAUAUGUGUAGAGGAACAUACGAUCUGCAAACGACAGCCACAAACCCGAAUCAAGAUGCUGUUCUGGGGGUGAUAAUGAUAGGGGCAGGUUACAGUGCUCUAGCGCAGCUUUCAACAUGCUUAGAAACUCCUUUUUCCAUCUCAACGGACAUAUCUAAUUCAGGAAGAUAUUCUUGGAGAAACUUUUGAAACAAUUUCUUUGAAAUCUAUGAGACGAGCUGGUGAGAUGGAAAAGAAUUUAGCUAUAGAAGCAGGUGAUCUCUCACCUGAUGGGGUUCCUAUAAUUACUGUCGUAGCGGAUGGGUCUUGAGCCAAAAGAUCAUAUAGAUCCAAUUACAAUUCUCUUUCAGGAGCUGCAGCAAUUAUAGGCUGUAGAACUAAACAGGUCCUUUUUAUUGGCAUAAAAAACAAAUAUUGUACAAUUUGCCAACUCUCAAAAAAUCAAGGACACAAUCAAAUGCCUAAAAGGCAUAAAUGCUUUAAAAACUUUGAAGGUUCUUCAACGAGCAUGGAAGGCGAUAUUUUAAAAGAAGGAUUUCUCCAUAGUUUAGAGCAACAUGGAUUAAUCUACCAUAAAUUAAUAGCUGACGGAGACAGCAAUUCUCUGAAAAAAAAUUUAGAUGCUCAUCCAUAUAAAAAUGACAUUGUGAAAAAAAAUUAGUGCAGAAAUUACCUUCUACGAAAUUACUCCCGGAAAAUUCGAGAUUUAGGUAAAGACGUCAAUGCUGGGCCAUUAGUUCUUCGGAAGCAAAUAAGCGUAAGUACUUACUAUUCGUAGAAAAAUUAUUUUAGGAAAAAUACUUAUGUUUCUGGUAAAGAAAAACAUAUUUGUAAAUUUAUAACGUUGUUUUUUUUUUGUAGAAAGAACAGCUAAGAUUACGAUAUGCAGUUACAAAAGUUAUCGAACAUAGAAAAAAUGAGGGUGUUCCGAUGUAAGAAAAAAUAAAGUUGUUAAAACAAGACAUAGACAAUUCUAUUAGCCGCGUUUUUGGAGAACACAAACUUUGUGCAGAAUUGGGAUAUUUCUGUCAUGAGCAAUAUAAACCCAGUGGUAGCAUAUUAUCAGACUUAAAAAUUACAGGUAGGUUUUAAAAGCCCAAAGUGUUAAGAAUUACGGUUUAUGACUGCCUUAUAAAUAUUUAUAAUUUUUUGUUGUUUCAGGCCGAUACGACAAAUUAUAUAGCUUUGUCAGCUAUCUUUCAAGAAAUAGCGUGAGUUUAAUACAAGAUGUUGACAAUAAUGUAUCGGAGCAAUUUAACUCAAUCAUUGCAAAAUUUAUUGGCGGAAAACGCAUUAAUUAUUGCCAACGAGGAUCAUAUCAGGCUCGCUGUUAAGCUUCUGUAAUUUCUCAUAAUACUAAAAAGCCUAUAUACACGAUUAAAAAAUUCCUUAAUCAUAAAAGCCCGAUUGGCUUAGUUAAAUACAGGGAAUUAAAGAAAAAAUAUAUUAAACGGAAAAGAUUAUUCCAAACCAAAGAGAAGUCUGGACUUGAUAGCAGUUACGGUGAUCAAUGUCAAAAGCCUGAUCUAACACCUGAGGAGUUGCAAAAAGAUAAAGAAGAUUUUCUAGCUAGUAUUAAAAAAAAUGCAGAAGAAAUCAAAUUAAUUGAAGAGCUCACAAAGGAACAGAGCCAAUCUGAUUUGUGGCACUUAGAGCGAAGAAAGCGUCUUACGGCAUCAAAUUACUACGCAAUUUGCUCUAAAUUUAGUGCCAGAAGCAACGGCGAUACAAAAAAGCUCGUGGAACAACUUCUGUACCCAAAAACAAUUAAUUCUGCUAGCAUUGAGUGGAGCAAACAAAAUGAAAAACAGGCAAUCAAUGUUAUAGAAACAUUAAUUGAUGAGAAGAUAUUACCAUGUGGCUUAUUUGUAAGCGAAAAUAUUUCAUUCUUGGCAGCGACUCCCGAUGGCCUUAUUGGGAAGAAGGGGAUUGUUGAAAUCAAAUGCCCCUUUAGUGCUAAAAAUCUCACCCCUGAAGAUGCGAUAAUGCAAAGAAAAAUAUAAUUUUGGAAGAAAAACGGAGAAAUUAAUAAGAACCACAAAUGGUUUUACCAAAUACAAGGCCAAUUGUUGGUAACUGGGAGAUCCUACUGCUGCUUUGCAGUUUGGACACCUUUGGGCAUUAAGAAGGAAAUUAUUUUAAAAAACGAUGUAUUCUGCGAAAACAUGAAAAAGAAAUUAACUAUAUUCUAUUCGAUAUGUUAUUUACCUGAUCUUGUAGAUCCUCGCAAAAAUAGAAAUAUGCAUGUUAAAAAUAUUUCCCUAAAAGAAUAUACGAUUGUAUAAGUUUUUUUUAUAUGUAGCCAACUUUGUAUAUUUUGUAAUAAAUGUCUUGUUUUGUUUGAUUUAUGUGUUAUUGGUCUUUAUUUUUUUA
Long non-coding RNA from Anthonomus grandis grandis, 3408 nucleotides. RefSeq lists it as uncharacterized. Lineage: Eukaryota; Metazoa; Arthropoda; Insecta; Coleoptera; Curculionidae. The transcript has 3 exons. The record is from RefSeq and is a predicted model, not a curated record.